Molecule: long non-coding RNA, 1504 nt
Filed under: Piliocolobus tephrosceles (Ugandan red Colobus)
Lineage: Eukaryota; Metazoa; Chordata; Mammalia; Primates; Cercopithecidae
Description: lncRNA (ENSPTEG00000003087.1)
Source: RNAcentral
UUUAAAUAACAAUAAUAAUAAUAAUAAUAAUAAUAAUAGUAAUAAUACUAAUAAUAGCUUAUGUUAUAAUAUUAACGAAAAUGACAACAAUGGAUUCAUUUAUAAUAAGACGCAAGAAUACGAUUCUACAUACAUAAACAGUACGCAUAUGUUACAUGAUGGACAACCUGUUAAUACUAGCAUAAAUAAUUAUAUGUUAUAUAAUUUUGAUUAUAAUAUAAAUAAUAAUUUUGAAACAGAUAUGACAUACGACGAUAAAAAAAGUAUAAUUGAAUUUAUGCCUAUGGCUAAAAAUGAAGUAUUAUUAAACACAAUACAUCACUUAAAUUUAAGAAAUGACCAGAUGGUUUAUUAUAAUGAUGAAGAUGAACAUAUAAAUAUAAAUAAUAGUUUUUUUAUGAAUAAGGCACAAUUAUUCUUACAGAGUGAAAACACAAGAGAUUAUUAUAAUAAUAAUGAUGCUCUAAAUGGUAUCGUUAGUGGCUUUUCCAACGGUACUAAUGUUACUAAUAAUAACAAUGGUAAUGGAAAUGGUGAUGGUAGUGGAAAUGGUGAUGGUAGUGGAAAUGGUGAUGGUAGUGGAAAUGGUGAUGGUAGUGGAAAUGGUGAUGGUAGUGGAAAUGGUGAUGGUAGUGGAAAUGCUAAUGAUAAUAGCAACGACGAUAACACUAGUAAUAAUAACAAAAUUAACCAUAUGCAAUAUGCCUAUGGUAUGAACAUUUCAAAUAACAAAAAUAAUGAAAAAAAUGCUGAGAGUAAUAAUAUGUUAAUUACAAAUGUAGCACCAUCUAGUGUAGCACUUAAUACCAGUUGUAACAUUUGUGAUGAUAACACAAACAACAAUAACCAAAACAAUAAUAACCAAAACAAUAAUAACCAAAACAACAAUAACCAAAACAACAAUAACCAAAACAACAAUUUGCAAGAAAAAAAUGACAUAAAAACAGAAUUAUACAAUAUGCCAAACACAUUAUUGAUUAAUAAGGAAAACAAAGAUAUGUGUUAUGAUACUUUCACAACUGAUACUGUUCAACCCGAAUUAGAAAAUAACCCAAAUGGUGUAAAUUGUGUAAUAGAUUCGAAUUGUGACAAUAUUAUAAUUCCUACAAAAAAUUUAAUUAGUAGCAAACAUGAUAAACCAAAUGAAUAUAAUAAUGAAAGUAAUAAUCAGAACAAUAUGAAUAAUCAGAACAAUAUGAAUAACCAGAAUAACCAGAAUAACCAGAAUAACCAGAAUAACCAGANNNNNNNNNNCCAGAAUAACCAGAAUAACCAGAAUAACCAGAAUAACCAGAAUAACCUGAAUAACCUGAAUAACCAGAGUAACCAGAAUAACCUGAAUAACCUGAAUAACCUGAAUAACCUGAAUAACCUGAAUAACCAGAACAAUCAGAACAACCAGAAUAACCAGAAUAACCUGAAUAACCAGAGUAACCAGAAUAACCAGAGUAACCAGAAUAACCAGAAUAACCUGAAUAACCAGAACAACCAGAACAACCAGAAU